GUGCCAGGCAAAUCCGGUGCCGGAGCCGAACCUGAGAGUAUGGAGCGUCCUUCGGGACAAUCCAACAGCGCGCGUAAUCAUACUUCCAAGAAAAUCCGCUAAACUUAAUCAUGCCGGUACCCGUACCGCAAACGGACACACGUAGUCGGGUUGAAUAUACUGAGGCGCUUGAGUGAAUCACGGUUAAGGAACUAGGCAAACUGACCCUGUAACUUCGGGAUAAAGGGUC
RNAcentral lists this ribosomal RNA (229 nucleotides) under Mediterranea massiliensis. Its description in RNAcentral is "partial 23S ribosomal RNA". It matches the Rfam family "Bacterial large subunit ribosomal RNA", at positions 1529 to 1750 of the family's 2925-position model. Lineage: Bacteria; Pseudomonadati; Bacteroidota; Bacteroidia; Bacteroidales; Bacteroidaceae. The record is from RNAcentral.